GGGAUGUAGCGCAGCUUGGUAGCGCAUCCGCUUUGGGAGCGGAGGGUCGCAGGUUCAAAUCCUGUCAUCCCGACA
RNAcentral lists this transfer RNA (75 nucleotides) under Rhodococcus erythropolis CCM2595. RNAcentral's name for it is "tRNA-Pro". It matches the Rfam family "tRNA". Rfam says of the family: Transfer RNA (tRNA) molecules are approximately 80 nucleotides in length. Their secondary structure includes four short double-helical elements and three loops (D, anti-codon, and T loops). Further hydrogen bonds mediate the characteristic L-shaped molecular structure. tRNAs have two regions of fundamental functional importance: the anti-codon, which is responsible for specific mRNA codon recognition, and the 3' end, to which the tRNAs corresponding amino acid is attached (by aminoacyl-tRNA synthetases). tRNAs cope with the degeneracy of the genetic code in two manners: having more than one tRNA (with a specific anti-codon) for a particular amino acid; and 'wobble' base-pairing, i.e. permitting non-standard base-pairing at the 3rd anti-codon position. Lineage: Bacteria; Bacillati; Actinomycetota; Actinomycetes; Mycobacteriales; Nocardiaceae. The record is from RNAcentral.